UAAGACGUAGGGUCCAAGCGUUAUCCGGAUUUACUGGGCGUAAAGCGCGCGUAGGCGGUCUGUUAAGUGCACAAGUGAAAGCUCCGGGCUCAACUCGGAAAUUGCUUUGCAUACUGGCAGGCUGGAGGGACGCAGAGGUCUGUGGAAUUCCUGGUGUAACGGUGAAAUGUGUUGAUAUCAGGAGGAACACCCAUGGCGAAGGCAGCAGACUGGGCGUUUCCUGACGCUGAGGCGCGAAAGCGUGGGUAGCAAACAGGAUUAGAUACCCUGGUAGUCCACGCCCUAAACGAUGGAUACUAGGCGUAGGAGGUAUCGACCCCUCCUGUGCCGCAGCUAACGCAUUAAGUAUCCCGCCUGGGGAGUACGGCCGCAAGGUUG
RNAcentral lists this ribosomal RNA (378 nucleotides) under uncultured bacterium. RNAcentral's name for it is "bacterial SSU rRNA". It matches the Rfam family "Bacterial small subunit ribosomal RNA", at positions 521 to 896 of the family's 1533-position model. The record is from RNAcentral.